ACUCAAAGGAAUAGACGGGGGCCCGCACAAGCGGUGGAGCAUGUGGUUCAAUUCGACGCAACGCGAAGAACCUUACCUGGGCUUGACAUGCUGGUAGUAGAAACCUGAAAAGGCGACGAGCCCCGCAAGGGGAAGCCAGCACAGGUGCUGCAUGGCUGUCGUCAGCUCGUGCCGUGAGGUGUUGGGUUAAGUCCCGCAACGAGCGCAACCCUCGCCCUUAGUUGCCAGCGGGUAAUGCCGGGCACUCUAAGGGAACUGCCCGUGAUAAACGGGAGGAAGGUGAGGAUGACGUCAAGUCCUCAUGGCCUUUAUGCCCAGGGCCACACACGUGCUACAAUGGCCGGUACAAAGGGUCGCGAACCCGUAAGGGGGAGCCAAUCCCAAAAAACCGGUCUCAGUUCAGAUUGGGGUCUGCAAUUCGACCCCAUGAAGUCGGAAUCGCUAGUAAUCGCGGAUCAGCACGCCGCGGUGAAUACGUUCCCGGGCCUUGUACACACCGCCCGU
RNAcentral lists this ribosomal RNA (504 nucleotides) under uncultured bacterium. RNAcentral's name for it is "partial 16S ribosomal RNA". It matches the Rfam family "Bacterial small subunit ribosomal RNA", at positions 899 to 1397 of the family's 1533-position model. The record is from RNAcentral.